Molecule: non-coding RNA, 148 nt
Filed under: Nomascus leucogenys (northern white-cheeked gibbon)
Lineage: Eukaryota; Metazoa; Chordata; Mammalia; Primates; Hylobatidae
Source: Rfam by way of RNAcentral
GCUGGGCGUGGUGGCGGGUGCCUGUAAUCCCAGCUACUUGGGAGGCUGAGGCAGGAGAAUUGCUUGAACCUAGGAGGCAGAGGUUGCAGUGAGCUGAGAUCACGCCACUGCACUCCAGCCUGGGUGACAGAGCAAGACUCUGUCUUGA